AAACUGAAGAGUUUGAUCAUGGCUCAGAUUGAACGCUGGCGGCAGGCUUAACACAUGCAAGUCGAGCGGGGGAGGUUGCUUCGGUAACUGACCUAGCGGCGGACGGGUGAGUAAUGCUUAGGAAUCUGCCUAUUAGUGGGGGACAACAUUCCGAAAGGAAUGCUAAUACCGCAUACGUCCUACGGGGGAAAGCAGGGGAUCUUCGGACCUUGCGCUAAUAGAUGAGCCUAAGUCGGAUUAGCUAGUUGGUGGGGUAAAGGCCUACCAAGGCGACGAUCUGUAGCGGGUCUGAGAGGAUGAUCCGCCACACUGGGACUGAGACACGGCCCAGACUCCUACGGGAGGCAGCAGUGGGGAAUAUUGGACAAUGGGCGCAAGCCUGAUCCAGCCAUGCCGCGUGUGUGAAGAAGGCCUUUUGGUUGUAAAGCACUUUAAGCGAGGAGGAGGCUCCUUUAGUUAAUACCUAAAGUGAGUGGACGUUACUCGCAGAAUAAGCACCGGCUAACUCUGUGCCAGCAGCCGCGGUAAUACAGAGGGUGCGAGCGUUAAUCGGAUUUACUGGGCG
This 565-nucleotide ribosomal RNA is filed under the name Acinetobacter schindleri. RNAcentral's name for it is "bacterial SSU rRNA". It matches the Rfam family "Bacterial small subunit ribosomal RNA", at positions 1 to 560 of the family's 1533-position model. Lineage: Bacteria; Pseudomonadati; Pseudomonadota; Gammaproteobacteria; Moraxellales; Moraxellaceae. The record is from RNAcentral.